This 2154-nucleotide long non-coding RNA is filed under the name Stegodyphus dumicola. RNAcentral's name for it is "uncharacterized LOC118180441, transcript variant X1". The record is from RNAcentral. Lineage: Eukaryota; Metazoa; Arthropoda; Arachnida; Araneae; Eresidae.
UUAUUAUUCUUAUUUCUUUUAUUUUAGACAUUUCUAAAAGAAAGUUUCCAUGAAGCAAGUCUUGAUCCAACAUAUUGCAAUUAUGUAGUAGGUGGAAGAAUAGCAUACCUGUGUUCUGUUCUUGUGGAAGAUACUGCUGUUGUUUUCUGUGGUCCAGGCCCAAGAAUUCUGGAGGCAGUUGAUUUAGAUUUAUGAGAUGCUGUUCCUGCCGAAGAUAGCUCCAACUUAUUUAAUGAAACUUAACUUCAUUCUUCCUGAGAAUGGCAUCAACUGGAAGUCGUUGGUGGCAACCAUCAGGUUUCUUUGAAGAUGCCUGCAUUAGAUGAUGACAUUUCUAUUGAUGGUUCUGAAAUCAAUGCAUUUGAGUUAUUGGAUGAUUUGAGAGCAAGGAACUUGAUCCUACAAACUGGUGGUUUGGGCCAUACUCUGAGGUGAACUGUUGUUGGAAUGGGAAGGUCGUCAAGCUCGUAUCGUCCGCCCAGAUGUGUGUAAACUGUCAAUGGCGCCCUACACAUGAUUUGAUCGUGUAAUGAUGAUGAGGCGUGAUCUUACCAAAUCAGGUGCUCCCAUUGGUCCACCUAGCAAUGGCUUCUUAUCCAUCAUUCCAGCAUUUUUGCAGUCACCAUCUUUUUCUGAAGACCAACACAUCAUAGAAAGAAUAAAGGAAAACAUAAAAAGGCAACGAAAACUGCUGUCAAACACUUACUGUGGUUAAGAGAAAAAAAGAAAGCUUUUCUUUCCCCCCCCAAAAAAAAAAACUUUCUGAAAAGUGCAUUUUAGAAGAAGAGGCGAUUUCUGUGCAGUGUUGUGUUCUUUCAUUGUGCAGGAACGUGAACCUUCAGACCAAUACCAGAAAAUGUAUUACAAAUUCACGAACUGAAGUGUAAAAAAAUGUAUGUUUUGGGGUAGGGUAUGAAUAAUUCUGAAAUUUGCUUAUAAUUCAAAGAAAGCCAGUGAAGUGACACCAUGGACAAUUUUUUGAGAGCUUUUAGAUAGAAUUUAUCAAAACAUGUUAAAUGGUGAAGAGUAAAAUUUAUUGCAACAUCUAAACUCAUUUUUUAAUUACAGUACUGAACACGAAAUUUGCUGUCAAUGUACAGCUGUUCUUAGUUCUAUCUAUAAAAGGUGAAAGUACCAUUCCUGAAUACUUGGGAUUUUAGAGAAAUAAUCCACAAAACCUCUACUAUGUUUCUUCCCUACUUUACAAAACUUUGUUAUUGUAUAUUAAUCUAACACAAAAAUUGUUUAAGAAAUUUAUUUAUUCAUAAUGAAGCGAUACACAGAUUGAAGUGUGUCAAAAACUAUUUAAAGUAUAUUUAUUUUAUUAAUAACAAAUUCUAUGUUUUGUGGAAUACAAUCAUUAGAGUCAUAGUUUGCUUAUUACAAAUGGCAUCACACAGCUGCUUCAAAAACUACUUAGUUGUAGAUUGAAAAUUAUUUGAAAACAAAGGGAUUGUAUAUAUUACAUAUAUAGUAUGCCCAUAUUAUACUUAUAAAUUAUAUUAAUUCAGACAUUCAUUGAGUUAAAAGUACAUGAGAAUAUAUCUUAUUCAGUUCUACUUUUAAAAUCUUUGCUGGCAAAACUGAUUCAAAUUAAUGAAUUAAAUCUGUUUUGCGAGACCAUUUUGUUUAAUGUAAUUUCUUACUUAUGUAUUGUACUAAAGCUGUUCCCCUAAAAAAAUACUGUUAUGCUUAUGAUGCUGAAUCAUAUUAUUUGCAAUAAUAUUAUUAUUACUAAUGUAGAAAGAUAUUUUUAUGUAUGUAUAUACGUGUGUGACGAAGAAACACACCUUUGUUGAAAUGCUUCAUAACACACACUGCUGUUUUGUCAGUUUGUAGUAAUAUAUGCUUGAAUGUUAAUGUUUGACCAAUGUAUGAAAAUGUAAAUCUUACCAAUGUAUGGAAAUAUUUAAAUUGUUGGAUAUAAAUGAAAGGACCACUUUGGUUCACAAAAUGCUACAGCAGAAAAAAAAAUUGUGACUUGCUUUAGUUUUUCUUAUUUUUGUGCCCAGUUGGAAUAGGUGGCACUAUAUGGGUGCUAUGAUUCCGUAGUAUGUUGUAUUAUUAUGGUUACUAUUUUAUUACAAAAACCGUUAAUGAUUAUUUUUGCAGCAGCACACAAUAAAGCAUUUGCUGUAUUAGAUGUGAACAAAA